This 305-nucleotide ribosomal RNA is filed under the name uncultured bacterium. Its description in RNAcentral is "partial 16S ribosomal RNA". It matches the Rfam family "Bacterial small subunit ribosomal RNA", at positions 508 to 807 of the family's 1533-position model. The record is from RNAcentral.
ACAGCAGUAGCCGCGGUAAUACGAAGGGUGCAAGCGUUACUCGGAAUUACUGGGCGUAAAGCGUGCGUAGGUGGUUGUUUAAGUCUGCUGUGAAAGCCCUGGGCUCAACCUGGGAAUUGCAGUGGAUACUGGGCGACUAGAGUAAGGUAGAGGAUAGUGGAAUUUCCGGUGUAGCAGUGAAAUGCGUAGAGAUCGGAAGGAACAUCUGUGGCGAAGGCGACUAUCUGGGCCAUUACUGACACUGAGGCACGAAAGCGUGGGGAGCAAACAGGAUUAGAUACCCCAGUAGUCCCUGUCUCUUAUAC